GAGCCUAUGAUGAUUAGCUUUAUGUUGGAAUUACCAUCAGAUUUGAAAUGUCGUUUUUUUUUCGGCUUUCUGAGGUUUAUU
Non-coding RNA from Triticum aestivum (bread wheat), 81 nucleotides. The record is from Rfam. NCBI's taxonomy places the organism in Eukaryota, Viridiplantae, Streptophyta, Magnoliopsida, Poales, Poaceae.